This 1075-nucleotide long non-coding RNA is filed under the name Homo sapiens (human). RNAcentral's name for it is "HSALNT0001096". The record is from RNAcentral. Lineage: Eukaryota; Metazoa; Chordata; Mammalia; Primates; Hominidae.
AUUAUCAGUGUCCCUCCCCCAACAGAAAGCAUGGGUGGGGGUGGGGGCGCUGCUGGAUUCCUGCUCUGGUGGAGGGGAAACUUGUGAGGGGCUGGUAAGCGCCCCCUCCGAAGCCUGGUGUGUGCGCGGGGGGAAGGAAGUUAGUUUCCUCUCCACCCAUGGGCACCCCUUCUGCCCGGGGCCUGGGAAGUGGGCUGCUCUGUGGGCAAAUGCUGGGGCCUCUGAAAUGGAGGAGACGCAGCAGGGAGAGGCCCCACGUGGGCAGCUGCGCUGAGAGUCAGCAGCACCUGUCCCCCAGGCGCUCCUCCUGGUGCUGCUGGGGGCCCGGGCCCAGGGCGGCACUCGUAGCCCCAGGUGUGACUGUGCCGGUGACUUCCACAAGAAGAUUGGUCUGUUUUGUUGCAGAGGCUGCCCAGCGGGGCACUACCUGAAGGCCCCUUGCACGGAGCCCUGCGGCAACUCCACCUGCCUUGUGUGUCCCCAAGACACCUUCUUGGCCUGGGAGAACCACCAUAAUUCUGAAUGUGCCCGCUGCCAGGCCUGUGAUGAGCAGGGUGAGGGGCUUCUCAGUGCUUGGCAGGGAGUUCCUAAGGACAGGCCUUUCUGAAGGAAGUGGCUGGCUCGGGCCCAAACUUGGGGUGUGAGGGUCCUGCACCCACCCUUGCCAGAACCCUCCACCCUGAUCCUCCUUCAGGGUGCCCUUGCCCCUUCUCUCUUCCUGGUGACCUUCCCAUCUCUCCAUGUGCCUUGGCCUCUGGUCGGCCUUAAUCUCUGAGCUUCUCUCUUUUUUAGGGUAGCCCUGUACCUGUCUGUCUUUCGCCUAUUUCUGUCUCCAUUAUCUUGGGAUAAUGCCUCUGCCUCUCCAUGGGAGCCUUUGGCCCUGACUAACUCUCCACUCCCCAUCUCCCUGCACCCCCACCAGCCUCCCAGGUGGCGCUGGAGAACUGUUCAGCAGUGGCCGACACCCGCUGUGGCUGUAAGCCAGGCUGGUUUGUGGAGUGCCAGGUCAGCCAAUGUGUCAGCAGUUCACCCUUCUACUGCCAACCAUGCCUAGACUGCGGGGCCCUGCACCGCC